Molecule: small RNA, 53 nt
Filed under: Caenorhabditis elegans
Lineage: Eukaryota; Metazoa; Nematoda; Chromadorea; Rhabditida; Rhabditidae
Description: Unclassified non-coding RNA W09G10.8
Source: RNAcentral
GAGUGGGAGGGAGAGAGACGCAGAGAGGCAGCUUGUCUCGCUCUCUGCGUCUC